This 497-nucleotide ribosomal RNA is filed under the name uncultured bacterium. RNAcentral describes it as "partial 16S ribosomal RNA". It matches the Rfam family "Bacterial small subunit ribosomal RNA", at positions 28 to 507 of the family's 1533-position model. The record is from RNAcentral.
GAUGAACGCUGGCGGCGUGCCUAAUACAUGCAAGUCGAGCGAACAGACGAGGAGCUUGCUCCUCUGACGUUAGCGGCGGACGGGUGAGUAACACGUGGAUAACCUACCUAUAAGACUGGGAUAAAUUCGGGAAACCGGAGCUAAUACCGGAUAAUAUAUUGAACCGCAUGGUUCAUUAGUGAAAGACGGUUUUGCUGUCACUUAUAGAUGGAUCCGCGCCGCAUUAGCUAGUUGGUAAGGUAACGGCUUACCAAGGCAACGAUGCGUAGCCGACCUGAGAGGGUGAUCGGCCACACUGGAACUGAGACACGGUCCAGACUCCUACGGGAGGCAGCAGUAGGGAAUCUUCGGCAAUGGGCGAAAGCCUGACGGAGCAACGCCGCGUGAGUGAUGAAGGUCUUCGGAUCGUAAAACUCUGUUAUUAGGGAAGAACAAAUGUGUAAGUAACUAUGCACGUCUUGACGGUACCUAAUCAGAAAGCCACGGCUAACUACGUG